Molecule: non-coding RNA, 23 nt
Filed under: Cricetulus griseus (Chinese hamster)
Lineage: Eukaryota; Metazoa; Chordata; Mammalia; Rodentia; Cricetidae
Source: RNAcentral
UAUACGGAGGUAAAUGUGUCCUU